AUUAAAGUUUGGAAUCAUACACUACCAAAAAAAAAUUAUGUUUUAGUCACGGUUGCUAAAUUAACUAAAAAAUUAGAACUUCUCUGCACUUUAAAAAAAACGUGGCAAAAAUAUCAUGGCUAACAUGGGCGGCAAAAAUAUUUCAUUCCCUCCCUUUACCUCCAACAGUGAAAAAGUAUUAUUUUGUCACACUUCUAACCCAAAAAUCUCUUUUCCCCCAAAGAAACUCAAAGCAAGCUUUUUUUUCUCAGCCCCAAAAUGCAAAUCGCAACUUUGCUUCACAAUUUUGGCUUGAGUUCUUAAAAUUUAACUGUUCUUCAAUUUUUCUAUCUUUAAUUGUAGCCGAAAGCGGAAAAAGUACUUUCAGACUCUUGUUUCUCUGUAUUGCCUGUAAGAUCCUUUUCAACACCUACCUGUGUGAUCCCCUCAAUACUGGCAUCAAGGCUAGGUUGUUGCCCAUCUGUAUCUGCUUCUGCUAACUGCCUAUCUUCUUGGGGUAUCUCCUAUAGUUUUCCUGAACUUUCUGCUAUCUCACCUUCUUUUGUUGACAUACCUUUUACUGCCUCAUUGAUUUUUCCAAAUAAGGUUUCUAACCAGGGUUUGCAAUAUUGACUCUAUGUUGUUUUAGUAUCAUUGUUCUCUUGUGAAGUUUCUACGUUGUUUAACCGAACAUGUGAUUUGCUUUUUUGUGUGUGUGGAUAAAGCUACAACUGUUGAAUUUGCUAUAUCUUGAACGUAAUAUUCAGUUUAUUAGUGUAAAAUACCUGAAGCAUAUUAAACAUUUAUAGGAUGCUUAGUGGGACAAUAAAACAUAUGUUCUUGGCCCGAAAAGUUAAAAUAGAAAUAUAUUAUAAAUAAACUUUUAGACCUAAAUUUAACUUCAACUAUGGCGAAAUUAUGUUCGGAGAAAAUAGUGGUUUCUCACCAAAAGCCUCCUGUGUGGUAAUUCAGUUGCUUGAUAUGUGAUAUAUUGUAUACAAAUAUAGGAUAAGUAGAUGUGUUAAGACUGGAUGUACGUUUUUCUUGGAGAAUGAUUUAAAACUGAAUAUAUAUACUGCAAUUUAUUAAACAUGAGAAGAGUGAAGUUGAGGUGAGGAUAUCCUACUAGGGUGUUAUGUGAUAGGUUGAUGUCUAUCAAAGUGAAAAGUAGGUUUUAAAGAGUAGUUAUCUAGACCAGAAUUUUUAUAUGGUAAUAAAUAUUGGGCAACCAAAGUCCAAUAUAUCGAUUGGAUAAGUGUUUUAAACUCAACAUAGGUUCUUUACUAUUGAGUGAAGGAGUUUUUGUGGUCAUAAUUGUUAUAUAUCUAGGAAGGGUGUUCUCUACAAAUCUAUGAUUGUAGAAGGGAGUGUCUUUACAUGUAAGACUGAUUAUGUUGAUAUAGAAAGAUGGACAGUUGUAACAUUAUUGUGUUUGUUCCAACUCAUUUAAAUCAUAGAGUUACUAUUUGAAGUUGACUAUGCUAUUUAAAGCACAAAUUUGCAACGGAAUAUUAUUCUGUGAUAGAGAUUAUCAAAUCUGUGAUGGACAUGAAGAUCCAUCACAUUUUUCCCUGUCACAAAUCUUUGUUUUUUCUUGUGGUACACUAAGGUAUAAAAUAUAUGAAAUUUCUUCAAUUUACCUUUACUCUUGGAGAAAUUCAGCUCAAGAGUUUCACAUGGUAGAAUUCGAGCAGUGACUAAACAAACAUUUGAUCCAAUCUGCAAUUGGAUUCUUCGCUUUGCUUAGUUGGUGAUUUAGUGCAGUAGGCUUGAAUAAUUGGUACUAAAUAACCAUAGGCUAUGUUGUGAAGAGGGUGACACUGAUUAGUUGGCUAAGUGAUAUGUAUUAGUUAUUUAGAUGCUUAAUUAGUGAAUUUUAAUGAGUAAGAAUAUGAUGUUAGAUUAAUAAAGCUAUGCAUAUUUGUAUCAUAAAAGGUUAAACUGAUCUUAACUUGAUUGUUGCCACUUUUUUAAAGCUAUGCAUAUUUCUGCAACUGUUAGUAAGAGUUUCAAUUUUGUAAAAUCUUAUUUGAAUGUAGUGGCUGUGUAAUUGUUUAUUAUAUGAGAAUUUUUAGUACUUAUUAAUAUCUUAGCCUUAUUUCUCACGUAUAUUGAUUUUUCAUAUUUGAAAUAGCUUCAUUCCAACAUGAUUGACAAGAGUUGAAUUUGGAAGCCAAUUAAAUCAAAAGAAUUCUCAGAUGGCGUAGUCCAAUUUUUGGACUUUUUCUUUUCAAAAGUGUCUGUAGAUGGAAAAAUUCCUGUCUUUGUACUACAUGUGGAUUUUCUAUUAUGCGUAAUAGAGCUGAAGUUUUUAGUCAUCUUCUUCAAAAGAGAUUUCCAGAAAAGUACACAUGUUGGUUUAUGCAUGGCGAAAAGAUGUAGUUUCUAAUGUAGCAUCAACAACCCGAUUACAAUCUGAGUCGGUUAGAAAAUAUCCUAUGCAAGAUAUGUUGAAUGAUGCUUUUGGUGUCUUUAAUGAUGAUAGUUUUCAAGAUUCUAGUCCAUCAAAUUUGUCAGAUAAUGACCAUUCUUGAGGUGCUGAAGGCCAAAGUCAGGAAGAGAGAUAAAAUUAAGGAGUUGUUGGAGGAUGGUAAUCAAGAACUUUAUGGUGGUUGUGCAAAAUAUAGUAAAUUGUCAUUCAUUGUUCAUCUUUAUCAUAUUAAAGUUUUAUCUGGUGCAACUGAUAAAACAUUCUCAAUAAUUUUUUAUUCAUUUUAGCAUCAUUGUGUUACUUGGGGAAACCAAUGCUUUUUCUGUGUUUUGGUUGGUGAGCCAUUAGAUCCAUUUUUCUGAGCGAAGAAUUUGUUUGUCGGUCAAUUAGCUACAUCUAUGUAGAGUCCAGGUUCCACUUGAGAUAGUAACAUCAAUCUGAAAAUUGAAUGAUUAAAUUUAUCUUUGCAAGGAUGGGUGUGCUAUAGAGAUCAAAAAGUUAGGAGGUUACCCUGGCAGAAUUGUGAUAGAAAAAGUUUGUCUAUUAUUUCUAUGUGAGUCCUGGUGAGUAAGCUGCCUGAUGCUAGUGUCCAUAUGUUCAUGAAUUAAUUGUGAUAUGGGCAAUAUGGUCUGGACAACACUCUAGUAAGAAAUAAAUAAAUAAAUCUUAGUUAUCUUUCACUCUUAAGCCUUAUAAAAAAGUUAUAUUUUACUCUAAAACUGCAAAUACUCUUGUUAGAUAUAUUACCAAGCUCUUACUCAUCUCUUUAAUUCUUUGAAGCUGUAUAGUUCUUCAUCUUAUUUUUAGAGAGUUCUCCUUUUGCAUUGAUACAUGUGUUUGUUAUAUUUGAAGGAUGGUGGUAGUAUGCAAUACCUCCAGAACCUGUUAAAAUAAUUGAUUGCCAAAAUUAAGAUGUAUCGUAGGAGUAACUGCUACAGAUCUACUAGAAGAGUAUAUGUAGAGACUGUCUUCUUUUUGUUUCCUAGAUGUGGAGAAGAUUAUCAAAUGUACGUUCGACUAUAUAUGCACAAAUAUUCUAUACAUGUAAAAAAAAGUAAUGUGGAAGCUUAUUGAGGUAACUACCUAACUUUUUUUUAUACAAUUUUGUGUUUGUGCCUCUCUACUAUUAAUGGAAUUGAAGUUUGAGAAUUACAGAAAUAAUGUGCACAAAAUGCAAAAAAUAGAAAGAAACUUAAAGUUUCGCAUACUGGUGGUAGCAAAAGCAAUGCAAGGAGAGGUCGUCAGAUGGAACAAAAAUUGGGAAGGCCUUUGUGUCGAAGUGAGGUUAUUUUGUCAACUUUACUGAAGAAGGAUGGCAAUUUUGUGGAUGAAGAAGGGAAGAUUUUAGCUGUAAGAUUCAUAUACUUGUCCAUAUUCAAAUUUCAAUUCUGGUGUUGAUUUAUUCAUGUCUGGUUUUACUCCGCUAGCUAUCAUAAAUGGUGGCGAGCUUCAAAAGUUGUUGAAGUUCAUAAAAAUAUAAAAGUAUUUAUCUCGAGAUCUCGAGAAGUAGCGAGACAAAAAAUAGUUUAGUGAACGGUGGUGGAUUUUGGUGGAUGAAUAAUUGGUAGUAGAUUCCACAUGUCGGAUUUCACUCGGUAUGUUGUGUUGUACCUUUGAUGUGUUGUAGAUGUAUUUUGUCAUAAUAUUGUAAAUGUUAAUUUGAGGAACAUGUUACACCGAGGUAUAGUUUGUAUUCGUUGAGUUGUAUUGCAUUUAUGGAUUGGUCUCCAUAUGUUAAUUUCUCUGGGCAGUGUGUUGAAGUAGCUGCUCUGAUGAUAAACUUAGCUUGUAGAAAGAACUUGCUUGAGUUAAUAUGGUCUCUCUAUUCAUGGUUUUGUGUUUGGUCUGAUGUUCCAUCAUGAUCUUGGACUUCAACACAGAUUAACAUGCGUACGAGAUAUGGGAAAUGAUCCAACCAUGGGUCUGGAAUAGACUUAUUAUCUUUCAAUGCUUCCCACUGAUUAAGUCUUGCUAUGAUCGCUCUCUCAUUUGUUAACUAAAGCUUGUCGACUGGUCUCCUGUAAUGUUCAACAUUCACUCUUGAGAAUAUAUUUAGGUUGUAGUGGCUUUGGGGUUAAUUAUUAUAUGGAGAGCUUAGUAACAAUUAUCCUUCCAGAACCCACUUUGUGGAUAUUUUGUUGUUGUCAUAGAAUCACGUAGCCAAGGAAUUCAAUCUCCCUAUGGAAUUGCAUUCAUAUUAUAAUUUGUAGACUAACAUGUGUUCUUGCCUUGAAUUCUUAUUAUGUGGGGUUUUUAGACUUUGGGACUUUGGUCUCAAUCAACUCGGUGUUUUGAUAAGAUUUUCAAUCUACUUAUAGUGCUAUAACUGAAACAUGGUCCUGGCUUGAUCCCAUAUAUUUAAAAAUUAUAGGUCAUUGGUUGUGAUCUCUUCUUUGCGAGAAGGCCAGUACAUAAGUUUUAGGGAGCUUGGGAGAUAUUAGGAUGAUAUUCUCUAAUUGCUAAUUGUAAAGUUCUUUGUGCUUUUGCUUCAUCUGCCUCUCCUAGAAAAUGCAAAUUUACUUGCUUUGUGAUUGUGUAAAUGUUUCCUUCAGUUACAUGAUUGUAGACAUAUGACAAAACAUUCUUGCUUUCUCUUUAUAUUUUUCUUGCCUUUAGCUGUGCAUAUACAAGUUUAUAUGUGUAUGAAGUUUCUUGUUCGUGAGUUGAGUGUUGUCAAUGGUUUCGAAUAUAUGUUUUUUAGUAGUAUCUUGUGGCUCUAGUAUUAUAAUGUGGAAUUCACUGGGUAUGUUGUUGUUGUACAGACAUUAGUUGUUCAAACUUCCACAUUGCAGACUUAAGUUAGUUCUCUACCUCUUAGAAUCCUAAGGUCUUGGAUCCCAUGUCAAGGUCUUCAUCUCAGCUCAUAAUUUAUAUUCUAGUUGUUCAUUUGUAUUAGUAAAAUAGAGAAAUAUAUGUGCAAGAAAGUGCAGCUCAAAUUCUGUUUCUUUUUAAUAUUAAAGAUAAUACUAAGCCUGCGUGAGAAUUAUUUUUACUUGAAGCUAUAAUGAUGGAACAGUCUGUAGUCUUCGUAAACUGACAUCAGAGUGAAAACUAACCAGUAGCUUUGACGUUGGUGCCAUUCUAAGCAGGCAAUAUUUUGCUUGUAGGAUACACCGGGUAUGUUGUUAUUGUAAUUGCUUGAAUUAAUACCCAACUCUAUUACAGUGAGGCCUUAUUGGUACGAGGAUAUCUCAUUUAUCUAUUUUGCUUGUAGGAUAAAAUAUUGGGGACUACCUGAAGAUCAACAACUUGCUAUCAGUUAUGAUGUUUCUUUGAAGAUACUAGCUCAUCCUAAUGAUGCCAUUGAAAAAGUGUUUAGACCUAAACAUUUUGGACGCGUUUUUUUUGUAAUGAUAGUUGAAAAAUACUAAAUAAAUUAUACUAUUCAUAUA
Molecule: long non-coding RNA, 5802 nt
Organism: Capsicum annuum
Lineage: Eukaryota; Viridiplantae; Streptophyta; Magnoliopsida; Solanales; Solanaceae
Exons: 3
Source: RefSeq, a predicted model, not a curated record